GGAUAGCUCAGUCAUCAGAGCUUGAGACUCUUAAUCCCAAGGUCGUGGGUUCAAGCCCCACGUUGGGCA
Molecule: non-coding RNA, 69 nt
Organism: Podarcis lilfordi (Lilford's wall lizard)
Lineage: Eukaryota; Metazoa; Chordata; Lepidosauria; Squamata; Lacertidae
Source: the annotation of a GenBank genome assembly